UAAGGAGGUAUGGUAGGACUCGCUGGCCAUUCGAUGGCAGCCCAUUUGUUGUUCUACCCCGAGUGGUAGACAAAGGUCCUUAUGAUCCUAUAUUGAUUUUACCAAGGGUGGUAAGUCAAUGGUCACUAUUGAUCCUAAUCCUGUUCGUCCUAAGAUCACAAUGGUGCAAGGAGGAUCAGCCGAAUUCACCUCACACAUGACCGAUCUCACACUUCGGA
RNAcentral lists this long non-coding RNA (218 nucleotides) under Panax ginseng (ginseng). Its description in RNAcentral is "long non-coding RNA (PGIN_LNC013873)". Lineage: Eukaryota; Viridiplantae; Streptophyta; Magnoliopsida; Apiales; Araliaceae. The record is from RNAcentral.